Molecule: ribosomal RNA, 253 nt
Filed under: uncultured bacterium
Lineage: Bacteria
Description: partial 16S ribosomal RNA
Rfam family: Bacterial small subunit ribosomal RNA
Source: RNAcentral
GACGGAGGGUGCGAGCGUUGUUCGGAAUUACUGGGCGUAAAGCGCGCGCAGGUGGGUGCGUAAGUCGGAGGUGAAAGCGCAGGGCUCAACCUGGGAAUUGCAUUCGAGACUGAAUAGCUAGAGUGCGGGAGAGGAGAGUGGAAUUCCUGGUGUAGCGGUGAAAUGCGCAGAUAUCAGGAAGAACACCCGUGGCGAAGGCGGCUCUCUGGAACGCAACUGACGCUGAGACGCGAAAGCGUGGGGAGCAAACAGG